RNAcentral lists this ribosomal RNA (429 nucleotides) under Chloroflexota bacterium. RNAcentral describes it as "Chloroflexi bacterium partial 16S ribosomal RNA". It matches the Rfam family "Bacterial small subunit ribosomal RNA", at positions 355 to 776 of the family's 1533-position model. Lineage: Bacteria; Bacillati; Chloroflexota. The record is from RNAcentral.
UGGGGAAUAUUGCACAAUGGGCGCAAGCCUGAUGCAGCCAUGCCGCGUGUAUGAAGAAGGCCUUCGGGUUGUAAAGUACUUUCAGUCGGGAGGAAGGUGUCAAGGUUAAUAACCUUGGCAAUUGACGUUACCGACAGAAGAAGCACCGGCUAACUCCGUGCCAGCAGCCGCGGUAAUACGGAGGGUGCAAGCGUUAAUCGGAAUUACUGGGCGUAAAGCGCACGCAGGCGGUUGAUUGAGUCAGAUGUGAAAUCCCCGGGCUUAACCCGGGAAUUGCAUCUGAUACUGGCAAGCUUGAGUCUCGUAGAGGGGGGUAGAAUUCCAUGUGUAGCGGUGAAAUGCGUAGAGAUGUGGAGGAAUACCGGUGGCGAAGGCGGCCCCCUGGACAAAGACUGACGCUCAGGUGCGAAAGCGUGGGGAGCAAACAGG